This 103-nucleotide transfer RNA is filed under the name Ustilago trichophora. It matches the Rfam family "tRNA". From Rfam's summary of the family: Transfer RNA (tRNA) molecules are approximately 80 nucleotides in length. Their secondary structure includes four short double-helical elements and three loops (D, anti-codon, and T loops). The record is from Rfam by way of RNAcentral. Lineage: Eukaryota; Fungi; Basidiomycota; Ustilaginomycetes; Ustilaginales; Ustilaginaceae.
UCCGAAUUAGUUUAGUGGCUAUGACGGCGCCUUGUCAUUCAAUUGACCAGCGUUCUCCGCGCAGAAUACGGCGCAGACCCGGGUUCAAUUCCCGGAUUCGGAG